GGGUAAUCGCCUCUCUCCAAGAAGAAUAAGACUCCAAUAUUGUAACAAAAGAAAUAUCAAUUUAGAGGAGGGUAAUCCGCAACCUCUAAAAUGCUAGUAUACUUCCAAGCAGAGGAGUAAUCCGCACUCUAACAAGGAAGAAACUAACUCUGAUAUCUGAGGUGAGUGAAGUCUCGACAAACUGUCACGGACACAGAAAUACACACUCGAGAUCUAACAAGAAGUUCAAGAAGAACUGGCAAGAACUAGAUUAAUCAGAUGAAUACAAGAACAACACCAGAGAGGUGAGCUAGAGCUCUAAGAGAUGUG
This 309-nucleotide long non-coding RNA is filed under the name Physcomitrium patens. RNAcentral describes it as "long non-coding RNA (PPAT_LNC004747)". Lineage: Eukaryota; Viridiplantae; Streptophyta; Bryopsida; Funariales; Funariaceae. The record is from RNAcentral.